Molecule: unclassified non-coding RNA, 606 nt
Filed under: Hevea brasiliensis (rubber tree)
Lineage: Eukaryota; Viridiplantae; Streptophyta; Magnoliopsida; Malpighiales; Euphorbiaceae
Source: RNAcentral
GUCUGUUGGAUGCAUCUUUGCAGAAAUUCUUGGCCGGAAGCCUCUAUUUCCAGGAACUGAGUGCCUCAAUCAGCUUAAACUUAUUCUCAAUAUCCUUGGUAGCCAGCCUGAAGCUGAUCUUCAUUUCAUUGAUAACCCAAGGGCUAAAGGAUUCAUCCGAUCUCUUCCUUUUACACGAGGAGCUCACUUUUCUUCUCUUUUCCCUCAUGCUGAUCCUUUAGCAAUAGACUUACUGCAGCGAAUGCUCAUUUUUGAUCCCUCGAAGAGAAUAACAGUUACAGAAGCUCUCUAUCACCCUUACCUAUCAAGUCUUUAUGAUCCAACAUGCAAUCUUCCCGCUCAAUUUCCUCUUAAUCUGGAUAUUGACGAGAAUAUGGCAGAACCAUUGAUUCGGGAGAUGAUGCUGAGAGAAAUCUUUCAUUACCAUCCUGAAGCAGCUUAUAUCAACACAUUUUACUAGUUUCCGUCUAUGUAGUAGUACUGUAUUACUUCCGAUUGGGACACAAGAAGAAGACCUAAGUAAGUGGGAUUUUUUGUUCUGUACUAUGAUAAAAAAAUACACAGUUAAGAUGUUAUCAUCACUUGGAGACAUUUGGAGCAGGGAGG